RNAcentral lists this long non-coding RNA (687 nucleotides) under Homo sapiens (human). RNAcentral's name for it is "novel transcript, antisense to ADGRV1". Lineage: Eukaryota; Metazoa; Chordata; Mammalia; Primates; Hominidae. The record is from RNAcentral.
UUCUCGAAAUCAGUGUGGAUUCCUGAGACAAUGUGGUAUGAGGGACUCAGAGGAAUGAAAUCUCCAUUCAAAUUAUGCUCUCUUCAUCUCAAAAAUUACAAAUUUGGAAUUAAAAAAGGAAGACCUUCCUUUAAGCUGUAACCUCCUAGAAAGUUUGCCCCGUGGACUUGUGGUUCCCUCUGCUGCUCUUCCCUGACUACCUGCUAAUCCUACUUAUCAGUGCUGCCCUCUCCCCCUUACAUGCUGCUCCCUUUGGCUGGAACACUAUUCUUGAAUGGAGAGUCCCUCCUGGGCCUGGUGCCACCUCAUCAGCCAUCUGAUUUCACUUCCUCAGGAAUUCCCCCAAUUAGACGGCAUUCUUCUGAUUACGCAUUCACAACACCCCAUACUGUUCUCUUGUAGAACUUAUCACAGUUUAUAACAAUAUUUGUGUGAUUAUUUUAUUCAAAUCUUCCUCCCACAGUAAAAUGCAACCUCUGUGAUUUUAUGCAUUCUGUUUGGGACCAUUCCUGUUUGGUUCUCCAUUGUACCCUCAGAACUUAAUGCAGUCAUCUAUGUAAUGAAUACCUUCGAAUGAAUAAAUGAUGAGAGAAGAUACUUGUUGAAAUCUUUUCAGAAAUACCUAAAAUGUGAUUUGUAAAUGUAUUAGUGAUGAGGAUAACAAUAAAAAUCAAAUUUAUAAAAAAA